AGGCAGACCAUGGGCGCUUGGGCGGCGUUUAGCAUUUGGAUAGAUGUGGAGGAGGGUGAAUGGGCGGGAUUUGUGGUAUGUCCGGGGUUGUUAUGUUUUAUUAAGUACCUUGUGCUUCACAAGAUCGACGUAUAGUCGAAGAAUUGAACCACGGACGCCUAUGUUAUAGGCAGCUUUGAAUGAGCCCACUCGCUGGGUCUACAUCACUGGGAUUUUCCACGGCUAGUUGAAAAUUCCCAGAGUUGGACAGGAUUUCCAAUAGUUCUUCCAUUUCGUGUCUGAUCGUGCAAGGGUUUACUUCUUGUUUCUACCGAGAUGAAGCGAUCACGGAGGAGCGAAUUGUGGAAUGAUUUCGCUAUUCUAGAUCAAGAGUAUGCGAAAUGUGGUUUACGCCAAAAAGUCGUACAGAACCAGCACGACGAACUUGAAGAAACAUGUCGAAAGGUCGCAUAUAAUGGUGAACUUUGCGACAAAUUCUUCAAGAUCCGUCGACCCUGUGUUGCCUGAGCCAGGUGAAGCCUCUCCUGCAGCGUAGCUGCCAGAAGGAGGCACAACAGCAGCAGGACACUGGGGGAAGCAGUUCCCUCCACAUCACAGCAUCGGAUAGCCAUCAGGGAAUAUGUCCCCAAAAAGAUGGGACUGAUUCAAAGGAAGGUCGACAGCAAAUUAAUGGGUUCUGACAUGUGACCUUCUGCCAGUGUGUGAUGGAGUUGCCAAAAUGCAGUUACAAGAAAUUUCAAUGAAAGUUGUUAAUGCACUGAAAGAGGGACUUACAACAGGUUACAGAAUCUUCAUCAGAGCAAAUCCAUUGCCCUUGCCACUCUGCUGGAUCCACGGUUCACAUUGCUGGCAUUUCAGAACCAACAGCAGCAGAUGACACGAAGAAACAGUUAGUUUAUAUUGUUGCCCAGAAACUAGAAGAAUGUAGACCAGAAGGUAUUCAACCUUCACAACAACCUGCUGAGCCAAAUAAUCUGACAACCGAGUCCUUCUCUGUGUGGGGCAUAUUUGGUGAGUUAGUGAAACAUGCACAGCCACGGGGGACAGUACAGCCGUGCUAUUGUAGAGGUCCAAAGAUAUGUUGACAGCUCAGCCAUCAGUAGAAAUGAGGAUCCCCUGGCAUGGUGGAGACAAAAUCAGUACAUUUACCCAGCCACCACAAAAGUAGUGCAAGAGAUUCAAUGUCGUUGCAACUUCUGCACCUUGUGAGAGGGUGUUUCCUAAUAACAGGAUAUUUAAUAAAUGAUAGAACCCAUUUCAAGCCAUCACAUAUCCAGAAACUAAUAUUUCUGAAUGUGAAUGGUACUUGUGAUUAGACACUGUUGCUGGUAAGUGACACAGCAUCAGAACACAGUACAGUCUUAAACUGUUCAUAAGCAGCAUAAUUGCAUUUGAUUACAUAGAGGUAACUAGGUACUUUCAACACAACCAAACAAGACUGCACAACUGUAUGAUUCCUAGCAAAAUGUAAAAUAUGUGAGUAUUUGUGUCAAAUAUGUAGAGGAAACUAUUUACUCUUCUUGUGCACAUGUUGCCAUGUAGAAACUUGUGAACUUAUUUGUAUUUUGAUUACAUGUAGGUAACGGGUCACUUUCAACACAAAAAGACCUCGUAACUGUAUAAUGCCUAGCAAAACGUAAAAUAUGCGAGUAUUCUGAUGUUUUGUAAUUCAUGUUAAGAAUAAUUUUUGCAGGAAUAAGUUAUUUAGGAUGUAUGGAAUAUAACUAGGAACAUGAGUGAAAUGAAAUGUU
This 1751-nucleotide long non-coding RNA is filed under the name Schistocerca americana (American grasshopper). Its description in RNAcentral is "uncharacterized LOC124554009, transcript variant X1". The record is from RNAcentral. Lineage: Eukaryota; Metazoa; Arthropoda; Insecta; Orthoptera; Acrididae.